ACGAACGCUGGCGGCGUGCUUAACACAUGCAAGUCGAACGAUGAAGCCCAGCUUGCUGGGUGGAUUAGUGGCGAACGGGUGAGUAACACGUGAGUAACCUGCCCUUGACUCUGGGAUAAGCGCUGGAAACGGCGUCUAAUACCGGAUACGACCUGCCCCGGCAUCGGGUGCGGGUGGAAAGUUUUUCGGUCAAGGAUGGACUCGCGGCCUAUCAGGUAGUUGGUGAGGUAAUGGCUCACCAAGCCGACGACGGGUAGCCGGCCUGAGAGGGUGACCGGCCACACUGGGACUGAGACACGGCCCAGACUCCUACGGGAGGCAGCAGUGGGGAAUAUUGCACAAUGGGCGAAAGCCUGAUGCAGCAACGCCGCGUGGGGGAUGACGGCCUUCGGGUUGUAAACCUCUUUUAGUAGGGAAGAAGGGCUUCGGCUUGACGGUACCUGCAGAAAAAGCACCGGCUAACUACGUGCCAGCAGCCGCGGUAAUUACGUAGGGGUGCAAGCGUUGUCCGGAAUUAUUGGGCGUAAAGAGCUCGUAGGCGGUUUGUCGCGUCUGCUGUGAAAACCCGAGGCUCAACCUCGGGCCUGCAGUGGGUACGGGCAGACUAGAGUGCGGUAGGGGAGAUGGAAUCCUGGUGAGCGGUGGAAUKMGCAGAUAUCAGGAGGAACACCGAUGGCGAAGGCAGUUCUCUGGGCCGUUACUGACGCUGAGGAGCGAAAGCGUGGGGAGCGAACAGGAUUAGAUACCCUGGUAGUCCACGCCGUAAACGUUGGGAACUAGAUGUGGGGACCUUUCCACGGUCUCCGUGUCGCAGCUAACGCAUUAAGUUCCCCGCCUGGGGAGUACGGCCGCAAGGCUAAAACUCAAAGGAAUUGACGGGGGCCCGCACAAGCGGCGGAGCAUGCGGAUUAAUUCGAUGCAACGCGAAGAACCUUACCAAGGCUUGACAUAUACCGGAAACUUCCAGAAAUGGUUGCCCCGCAAGGUCGGUAUACAGGUGGUGCAUGGUUGUCGUCAGCUCGUGUCGUGAGAUGUUGGGUUAAGUCCCGCAACGAGCGCAACCCUCGUUCUAUGUUGCCAGCACGUCAUGGUGGGAACUCAUAGGAGACUGCCGGGGUCAACUCGGAGGAAGGUGGGGAUGACGUCAAAUCAUCAUGCCCCUUAUGUCUUGGGCUUCACGCAUGCUACAAUGGCCGGUACAAAGGGCUGCGAUACCGUAAGGUGGAGCGAAUCCCAAAAAGCCGGUCUCAGUUCGGAUUGAGGUCUGCAACUCGACCUCAUGAAGUCGGAGUCGCUAGUAAUCGCAGAUCAGCAACGCUGCGGUGAAUACGUUCCCGGGCCUUGUACACACCGCCCGUCAAGUCAUGAAAGUCGGUAACACCCGAAGCCAGUGGCCUAACCGCAAGGAGGGAGCUGUCGAAGGUGGGAUCGGUGAUUAGGACUAAGUCGUAACAAGGUAGCCGUACGG
This 1468-nucleotide ribosomal RNA is filed under the name Rathayibacter tritici. RNAcentral's name for it is "16S ribosomal RNA". It matches the Rfam family "Bacterial small subunit ribosomal RNA". Lineage: Bacteria; Bacillati; Actinomycetota; Actinomycetes; Micrococcales; Microbacteriaceae. The record is from RNAcentral.